RNAcentral lists this ribosomal RNA (530 nucleotides) under Lodderomyces metapsilosis. RNAcentral's name for it is "eukaryotic LSU rRNA". It matches the Rfam family "Eukaryotic large subunit ribosomal RNA", at positions 79 to 625 of the family's 3401-position model. Lineage: Eukaryota; Fungi; Ascomycota; Pichiomycetes; Serinales; Debaryomycetaceae. The record is from RNAcentral.
CUUAGUAGCGGCGAGUGAAGCGGCAAAAGCUCAAAUUUGAAAUCUGGCACUUUCAGUGUCCGAGUUGUAAUUUGAAGAAGGUAUCUUUGGGUCUGGCUCUUGUCUAUGUUUCUUGGAACAGAACGUCACAGAGGGUGAGAAUCCCGUGCGAUGAGAUGACCCAGACCUAUGUAAAGUUCCUUCGAAGAGUCGAGUUGUUUGGGAAUGCAGCUCUAAGUGGGUGGUAAAUUCCAUCUAAAGCUAAAUAUUGGCGAGAGACCGAUAGCGAACAAGUACAGUGAUGGAAAGAUGAAAAGAACUUUGAAAAGAGAGUGAAAAAGUACGUGAAAUUGUUGAAAGGGAAGGGCUUGAGAUCAGACUUGGUAUUUUGUAUGUUACUCUUUCGGGGGUGGCCUCUACAGUUUACCGGGCCAGCAUCAGUUUGGGCGGUAGGAGAAUUGCAAAGAAAUGUGGCACUGCUUCGGUAGUGUGUUAUAGUCUUUGUCGAUACUGCCAGCCUAGACUGAGGACUGCGGCUUCGGCCUAGGAUG